This 254-nucleotide ribosomal RNA is filed under the name uncultured bacterium. RNAcentral describes it as "partial 16S ribosomal RNA". It matches the Rfam family "Bacterial small subunit ribosomal RNA", at positions 524 to 776 of the family's 1533-position model. The record is from RNAcentral.
UACGGGGGGAGCAAGCGUUGUUCGGAUUUACUGGGCGUAAAGGGCGCGUAGGCGGCCAGCACAAGUCAGUUGUGAAAUCUCCGAGCUUAACUCGGAAAGGUCAACUGAUACUGUGCGGCUAGAGUGCGGAAGGGGCAACUGGAAUUCUUGGUGUAGCGGUGAGAUGCGUAGAUAUCAGGAGGAACACCGGUGGCGAAGGCGGGUCUCUGGGCAAUAACUGACGCUGAGGAGCGAAAGCGUGGGGAGCGAACAGG